AAAUUUAAAGCCGUAUGGGCUUGCAAUCUAUCAGCCACGUGGUCUCACGAAAGACAACUGGCAGCAUCGAUGGUGUGCUACGUAGACGACUCAUUCUCAUCAGUCGAAGAAUAAAUGUAGAGAACUGCACGUCCACCGCCAUCCACUAUACUCAAGGCCAUCCACCAUGUAGCAAACAAAAUAAUUGGUUUAUUUGUUUGCUGUUGUUGUUUUUUUGGAGGCCUACAGCUUAUCAGUAAGGGGAGGCUUCAAAACACACAAAAAGGUCUGAGAACCAGAAUGGAAAUCAGCCGAUUAGAUCAAGACAACCAACAAUUAAUGGCCAUAGGGUCAGGGAUUCGGAUGCCACAAUUCCUGCCAGAAGAGAUUCCUCAUGUUAGGCUACCACUAAGAUUGUAAAGGAGGCAAAGGAUCUUAAACACUCGGCUGAUCGCCUUAAGAAUUCUGGAUUAAGUGUUGAAAGUACAGGUCUUUACUUCCAGGCAGCCCUUAAGUUUCUUCAUGGAGCCUCUUUAUUGGAAUCUAGCAAUGGCGAGAGUGCCAAGCAAGGUGAGAUGAUUCGGUCAAUGCAAAUGUGUAGUAGCACAGCAAAACUCUGUGAGUUUUGUGCUCAUGAAUAUGAGAAAUCCAAGGACAUUGCUGCUGCUGCUCUGGCCUACAAAUGCAUGGAGGUGGCAUAUAUGAGAGUAAUUUAUUACUCGCAUACCAAUGCAAGCAGAGAUCGGCAUGAGUUGCAGACAGCUUUGCAAAUAGUUCCUCCUGGAGGAAAGGCCGAUGAAUAAGUACUAUAAUUUCAUUUGAAAUCAUGACUUCCAUAAGAGAAACUGAAGCAACUAGAAAUAUCAGAGCAGGAAAUUUAUUGCGCUGGACAAAAAUCUUUUGUGGUAUCUUCUUUCUAGUACAAACGUGUGAAUCUCCCUCUUCCUCUGCCUCCGACGUUGAUAACUUAAACAACCCAACAACAUUAGACAAGGUUCCCUUAACCAAGGGUGUUAGCUCUCCUCAAGUUGCUGCAAACCAUGUUAUUGCUGCACGAAACUGCCCCAGUUUGGUGCGGCUGCUCAACUUUCUAUGGGAUGUAAAUUUUGCAAUGGAAGCCUCGAGGAAAUCUCAAAUUGCUUUUGCAGCUGCGAAUACAAUAAUGGAAGAGGCUCAGCAUAGAGAAGGUAUAACUUCUAUUAAAAGGGCUCAGCACAGAGAAGAUAUAAUUUCUGUUAAAAGGGCUCUUGAUUUCAGCUUCCAAGAUGUGGACAGAUUAUUACGUUUGGUAUGGUUGGCAAUGGAAGCAAUUAGUCGUUAACUCGUAGUUGAGAUUAUGUCAAACCAAGGAAGAGUUUUGUUUCUUUGGUUUUUUUCCUUCUAGUUUUCAAUUUUUUUCCUCCAGUUUACAAUCAUUAAGGAAGAAAAGAAAAGAGGAUGACCUGGAUCUUUCUGCUGCAUCACGUAAUAUCUGUUAAGAAACAGGUGUUAACAGUUCAGUGCCUUUGUACAUCUGUAUCAUACCAAUCAAAUUUGUAGAAUUCACACCGCCUUAGUGAGUUUUCUUAUUUAUCUUUUUCAAAUGGUUAAUGAAAUUCAUAAUUACCUAUGUUGAACUCUUGGCCGGCUGUACUAAGUUAUGUACUCAUUUUGUUUCUCUCUUUGAUUUGGUGGCUAUCGAUAGAAAUACACAAAUUGUUCCAGUGCUUCAUAUCAUCACAUUGUUGCUGAUCUAACAAGUGAAGUUGUUCUUUAGCUAAUUCUUUACUAGUAGCUACUAGUAUGAAGUUUUUGCCUAUUUGUUUACUGAUUUUUUUCUCAUUUUUAAUGAAAGUGUCGCAUCUUAUCAAAAUAAAGUAUAUUUCCCUAAUUGAAUUGUAUUAAAAUUUCCAUAAUAUGGACUUUUUAGGAUGAAAACCUGUUCUUUUUUAUUUUUGUUUUGUGGUCCUUUCAUUUGCAAACAAGAAGUUGGAAGCUCCAAAGGCAAAAUUUCUUGUUCUCGUUGUUUUGAUUUCCCAUCCAACCAUAGGCCUCAUUAGGAAUUUCAUCCCCAUAACAUAAAGGACUCUAUUUUUCAAUACCCCUUCUUUUCUCUCCUCUCUCCUCUUUCUCUUCUAUGUCUAAAGUUGUAAAUGCUCUAACUCCAAACAGGAUGCUUAUCGCCAAAUUCAAACUCAAUGCAUUAUACCCAAAAUAAACAAACCAAAUCCAUCCCACUUAUAACAUCCAUAGGCUCCAAAUGCCUGAUUUGACAGAACUUGCAACAAUUUUGGAAUUAGUUUGGGAAAAGUGGUAUAUCGGGAAUAUUUUUAUAUAUAAUGUUAUUUUGGCCUAUAGCUCAUUCUCUAAUACUGCUUUGCUUUACGGUGUUUAAAUAGGAUCUUUGGUUACAGGUAAACAAGUAGAACUACUGUUGUGGUAUCAACAUCAACUUAUGAAGUGCUCCAUUUUCACACCCCCAAUCUCUUCUGUUGUAUUCUUUCUUUUCUUUUAGUAGAUUUUAUACAAUAGAUAAACAGAGACUUGAUCACUGUCUCAUUAUAUGUACAAACAUGCCAUUUGUUUCAUUCUACAUGACAAAAGUUUCGUCUCAAA
This is a non-coding RNA of Camellia sinensis, 2574 nucleotides long. The record is from RefSeq and is a predicted model, not a curated record. Lineage: Eukaryota; Viridiplantae; Streptophyta; Magnoliopsida; Ericales; Theaceae.